RNAcentral lists this ribosomal RNA (644 nucleotides) under Salmonella enterica. RNAcentral's name for it is "bacterial SSU rRNA". It matches the Rfam family "Bacterial small subunit ribosomal RNA", at positions 1 to 634 of the family's 1533-position model. Lineage: Bacteria; Pseudomonadati; Pseudomonadota; Gammaproteobacteria; Enterobacterales; Enterobacteriaceae. The record is from RNAcentral.
AAAUUGAAGAGUUUGAUCAUGGCUCAGAUUGAACGCUGGCGGCAGGCCUAACACAUGCAAGUCGAACGGUAACAGGAAGCAGCUUGCUGCUUUGCUGACGAGUGGCGGACGGGUGAGUAAUGUCUGGGAAACUGCCUGAUGGAGGGGGAUAACUACUGGAAACGGUGGCUAAUACCGCAUAACGUCGCAAGACCAAAGAGGGGGACCUUCGGGCCUCUUGCCAUCAGAUGUGCCCAGAUGGGAUUAGCUAGUUGGUGAGGUAACGGCUCACCAAGGCGACGAUCCCUAGCUGGUCUGAGAGGAUGGCCAGCCACACUGGAACUGAGACACGGUCCAGACUCCUACGGGAGGCAGCAGUGGGGAAUAUUGCACAAUGGGCGCAAGCCUGAUGCAGCCAUGCCGCGUGUAUGAAGAAGGCCUUCGGGUUGUAAAGUACUUUCAGCGGGGAGGAAGGUGUUGUGGUUAAUAACCGCAGCAAUUGACGUUACCCGCAGAAGAAGCACCGGCUAACUCCGUGCCAGCAGCCGCGGUAAUACGGAGGGUGCAAGCGUUAAUCGGAAUUACUGGGCGUAAAGCGCACGCAGGCGGUCUGUCAAGUCGGAUGUGAAAUCCCCGGGCUCAACCUGGGAACUGCAUUCGAAACU